UACGAAGGGGGCUAGCGUUGUUCGGAAUCACUGGGCGUAAAGCGCACGUAGGCGGAUUUUUAAGUCAGGGGUGAAAUCCCGAGGCUCAACCUCGGAACUGCCUUUGAUACUGAGAAGCUUGAGUCCGGGAGAGGUGAGUGGAACUGCGAGUGUAGAGGUGAAAUUCGUAGAUAUUCGCAAGAACACCAGUGGCGAAGGCGGCUCACUGGCCCGGUACUGACGCUGAGGUGCGAAAGCGUGGGGAGCAAACAGG
This 253-nucleotide ribosomal RNA is filed under the name uncultured bacterium. RNAcentral's name for it is "partial 16S ribosomal RNA". It matches the Rfam family "Bacterial small subunit ribosomal RNA", at positions 524 to 776 of the family's 1533-position model. The record is from RNAcentral.